This is a non-coding RNA of Triticum aestivum (bread wheat), 124 nucleotides long. Lineage: Eukaryota; Viridiplantae; Streptophyta; Magnoliopsida; Poales; Poaceae. The record is from Rfam.
UUUGUACUCCCUUCAUCCCGAAAUUCUUGUCUUAGAUUUGUCUAGAUACAGAUGUAUCAAGUCACAGAUACAUCCAUAUCUAGACAAAUCUAAGACAAGAAUUUUGGGACGGAAGGAGUAUAUA